UGCGCAGGCGGGCUUGUAAGUCAGUGGUGAAAUACUGCCGCUUAACGGUAGAACUGCCAUUGAUACUGCAAGUCUUGAAUAUGGUUGAGGUAGGCGGAAUGUGUCGUGUAGCGGUGAAAUGCAUAGAUAUGACACAGAACGCCAAUUGCGAAGGCAGCUUACUAAGCCAUUAUUGACGCUGAGGCACGAAAGCGUGGGGAGCGAACAGGAUUAGAUACCCUGGUAGUAC
Molecule: ribosomal RNA, 229 nt
Filed under: uncultured bacterium
Lineage: Bacteria
Description: partial 16S ribosomal RNA
Rfam family: Bacterial small subunit ribosomal RNA
Source: RNAcentral